ACAUUAAUCUCUGCUCUUAAUCCUAAAUUAAGUCAACCGAGACAAAAGGUUUUGAAUUUCACGUUAACGAAGAGGAAUCUUGAUCAUGACCGAAGCUUACAGUAACAAGAAGAAGUCCUGGAAGGUGAUCAACUUCGGUGGUGAUGCCCGAACCGAGAUUGAAGCUUUUCAAGCUUCGCGACCUGGAAAACAGGGAGAAGCAGAGCAGGAAAGGCGCAGCUCAGGAAUGCUGAGAAACGACGGCGACAAAGGCAAUGGCGAUGAGGAUGAUCAGAAUCGGGAUCUGAAAGCAAACUUCAGUCAGUACUCAAGCCGUCGGAAGCUCUCGGUUUCGGCAAGGAGACGAGGCCGC
Molecule: long non-coding RNA, 352 nt
Filed under: Eucalyptus grandis
Lineage: Eukaryota; Viridiplantae; Streptophyta; Magnoliopsida; Myrtales; Myrtaceae
Description: long non-coding RNA (EGRA_LNC006951)
Source: RNAcentral